Long non-coding RNA from Colossoma macropomum (tambaqui), 4174 nucleotides. RefSeq lists it as uncharacterized. The record is from RefSeq and is a predicted model, not a curated record. The transcript is spliced from 3 exons. Lineage: Eukaryota; Metazoa; Chordata; Actinopteri; Characiformes; Serrasalmidae.
UUUACCAUAAUUUAUAUUUUUUACUUAUUGUAUUGUGUUGCUUAGCAAAAAUCUGGACAAAGAAGAGCUGGAAUCCAGAUUGUGGAGCUGUGUGUGUGUGUGUGUGUGUGUGUGUGUGUGUGUGUGUGUGUGUGUGUGUAUACAUACACUUCAGUUCCACUCGGUGAUCCUUCUGCAUAUUCAUAGGAUGCUACCAUUCAAGUCAUUUGAUUUUUUGUUCCGGGUCGUCUGCGUGCUGUUGGGGUGGCUUAUGCUUGGUCUGCGUGCUGUUGGGGUGGCUUAUGCUUGGUCUGCGUGCUGUUGAGGUGGCUUAUGCUGGGUCUGCUUGCUGUUGGGGUGGCUUAUGCUGGGUCUGCUUGCUGUUGGGGUGGCUUAUGCUGGGUCUGCUUGCUGUUGGGGGGGCUCGUUGCGCCGGUCAUCUGUGAUUUUGGGUGUUCUUUGUUGAGUUGUGGUUUGUCUGGUAAGUCUUCCUCAUACACUCCUUGUGUAUGUGGUUUUGUACUCUUCUCGUGUGUGUGUGUGUGUGUGUGUGUGUGUGGUUGGGUUUUUUUUUGUGUGUGUGUGUGAGAAACAUUUGAUUGACAAAACUCACUGUAUUUUGUUUAUUAAUCUGAAUGCCGUCUAUCAGGUUUACUUUUGUUUUUUGUUUGAAUUUUUCAUUUUUUUACAACUUUGUGGUGAUGUGUGGACCAGAGGAUGUCACAACCACUGGUAUAUAAAGCCAAUUCCGAGAAAAAAGUUGUUUUUUUUUUUCUCCUCCCACUUACAGCUUGUAAUUUUUUUUUUCAGUUUCAGACUUUUGACCUUGAUCUGGCGUGGAAUGUGCUAUAAUGAGUAACAGCAUAACGGAGAAGGCUGAUGACCUUUCUCAAUGUUGCUUGUGAGAAAUAAGAAUCAACACUUUCUAUACACCAUAUUCACCACAUUCACUUAACUGAUGACAAAGUUCUCUUUAUCAGCGGUUUUCUGAGUCACACUGGUACGUUUAGCAGAUCACAAUUAAAAUUCACAAGUGUUUCAACUUCCACAUGAUCUUGUUACUUGAGCACAUCAUAACAACAGUUUCUCACUCUUUUGAACAUUUUUGCAAAUGCUUUUACACAUGUAAAAGGCUGUGUACAGUCAUAUGCUUCAUCAGUUUGUGUUUUGGAAUGUUUUGCUAAAUUAGCUAUCAUUCAGAGCUUGAUUGUUACAUGUGAUUAAUGAGGAUUCAUUCAAUUUGGCAAAAGAAAAUGAGUGUAAAACCUCAUAGACCACCAAGCCAGAGUGGAUGUACCGGGUCAGCAUGAAGGAAAAUCCAGUAACAGUGUGUCACCCUAUCAGACAAUGUGUUCAGUCAUAUUUUUACCAUUGGGCUUUACAGAAAACACAAUCUUACCUUUAUUCAACCUGCUAGAAAACACUGUUCAGUUGGAGACAAUAAUAAAUUACUGUGAGUAAAAGAUACAGUAAAAAGCGAAAUUAGAAAAAGAAAUAAUUUCCAGGACAUAAUUUUAUAUUGACAACAUGACUAAGUAUUUUGACUGUCUUGGUUACAAACCAUGACAAAAGGACUUUCAUUUUGGUGGCACUGACAUUUAUUGCGGUGGUUAUUUACUUUUGAGACACACACUAAACAUUUUGAGUGAGUUAUGGACUUUUGCAGGUAAUCCACUGUGUGAUUGCUGUUUGUACUUCUCUUCAGAAAUGUUCAUAACAAUUCAAAAACAUCCCAAAACGACUGAGAAAAAUGGUGGUUAAUGUACUGCAUUUUAAAAUGCUUAUUUAACUUUUUGUAUGGGACAGUUGCUAAUUUUAAAACUGUAUCUCCAUCAGAAGGAAAUAAUUCCCACCACAGUUCCUAGCGAUCCAAGCUAACACAUGUGGAGAAAGGUAACUGAGACAGUGGACAUUUGUGUAAUAUUAAAUGUAUGUUACAGUGGUUGUUUUCUUUUCUUUUAGUAACAGUCUUUUAGUCCCCUGAGCACCUUUUGUAGAGGAAAACAAGUUCUUAGGUUUGCUGAGAGAACUGCUAUGAGCCAGGACAAUGAAGAGCCAAUCAAAAAGUAAACACUGUGUUGUCUGAACACAAACAUCAUCCCACGGUGAUCUUCAUUCUACAGAGCUUUUGUUAGAAAUGACAUCUGUUAAUGAGUUUUGGCAGUGUUUAUGUAUUGGACACAAUUCUCAAAGAGCUGACGUAGAGGAGCAGUUCAACACCCUAAUCUCAAGGAUAGACAUUCUAGAGAGACACUUUCUCCAGUGGCAACAUCUAAAAAAAAUCCCCCACCGCUUCUCUGAGAGUGAUGUUCUUUGGGGAGGCAGGCAUGAAUGCAGGUGUUCUCUGAAAAGAAUUUCUCACAGGUUAAACAAAUAUGACCAUGGAUAUGAAUUCCAAAGUAAUCAGAGUCCAUUAAAACAGUUUUAGAUUUUAGCUUAUACAUUAUGUCUGUCAUACUUUGGUUAAAAGGGCAGCAAACCCAAAAUUCAUGAAAUGUUAUACCCUACUUCUCAAAGGAUCUCUGUCAUUGAGUGUUAUGGUAUUAAUUGUGUGUUAGUUUUUUCUAUGAUGAAUGUAGAAAACUUGAAUAUAACCCCAUUAAUUUAGAGAAGUGUCAGUCUCUACAAACCAAUUAGACAAACCUCCUAAAACUGUCUGGAUGAUUAACUAGAAAUAUGGUCAGACAAUGUUUACAUUUAUAUUUUUUAUACAUUUCUAAUUUUUUCUUUCCCAGGUUGAAUUGACUCAGCAUUCCAUUGAAGGCCUAUCUGAUAAUCUAAAACUGUGAAUAUACUGGAGCUCUCUGCCUUCAAAACAAGGAGUUAAUUGUUCGGUAUGGUGGGUUUUGUAGGAUUUUUUUUUUUUUUCUUUCUGCUGUUGUGGAGCCAUCAGACACCAGACAGUGCUGAAGUUGCAGCCUCUGUUGAAACAACCAAGAUAAGCCCUGCAGCUGUGUGACCUUCACUACUCAGGCAGUACCAGAUAUCUGCCAGCCCAGUUUGUUCCUGUGGAAGAUGUAGAAGUCAGUGCAGAGAGUGUUAUGGCAACCAUUCUUUCUCAACUGGGUGACAAGAGGACCACCAAGCAUCAGGCUGAGCUGGAGAUGAUCAACUUUAUACAGGACUUCUUUUAUGUUGAAGCUGAAUAUCAGGGGGAUGUAGAUGAGAAAGAUUCCCACAUUCCAUCACACCUGCCAGGUUUCUGCAGAGGAUUACAGGCCAAGGGCACAUCCCACCUCUUCCUUCAAAGAAGGACUUUGCUGUAACGUUAAAAUUUAACCACGACUGCAGUUCAGACUUUGGGCAUCAUAACCUCUGUUACACUGUUGUGUCAGCAUGUCCAAGUCUUUUGUGCUACCUGUAAGACACAUGAGGUCCUGUGACCAAUCCGAAAGGGUUCUAAUGGAGACUUUAUAACUAGGCCAAGAAUUUAACACUGUGUAAACAAAAUUCCAGCAACUGCCUGUUUUUCAAAGUUGAAUUACAACCUAAAUGUUUCACACCAACUGCUACUGUUUUACUGUCCUAUGUUCUGAUUAAUUAAACACAUUUCGUAAUGUGUAAUAUUGUGUUCCAAGAUCUUACCAUGUUUAAAGAGAGGAAUUAGUCAAGUAAACAAACAUAAUGUCAUUUCCACCAAUCUUGUUCACCAAUUAUUUACAGGUGGUAUCUAGGGUCCAUGAUUUAGUACACAGUUCAGUACAGCUAAAUAAAUGUCUCGACUGGCUCAGAUGGUCUGCCAUAUCCUGCUCACACAGGGGACACUGAACAGCUAGAAGAACCCAGAACUGGUCUCAUCUAGCUCAGUGACUGUGUUGAAAUCAAGAUCUGUGUCGUUGAUUUAUUACAUUUAUUAAAAAAUAGCAAUUUCAAUUUUUAAAACCUGUCAUAUAGAAAUCAGGCAUACAUAAAAUAAAACUACAAAGGCAACCAGAUUGGCUGACUAUGCUAAAAAGCCAAAGAAAUAUAAGCCUCGUUCAGCUUUUGAACAGUUCACCCAUCAAAAGAAAUGGUUCAAACUUUAUACAUGUUGCAUAUUUAAUGUAGUUAUACGCUGUGCAUAUAUAUAGCAUUUUAAUAGUUUUAAGCAUUACCUGAUAUUAGAAAGCAUCUUUUUUUUUUCCUUCAAACUUUUCUGCAAUUUGAUUCAAAUUUGUUUUAUCGCUUUAGUUUAUUUUGAUGUUCUUGAUUGGAA